CCUACGGGAGGCAGCAGUGAGGAAUAUUGGUCAAUGGACGAGAGUCUGAACCAGCCAAGUAGCGUGAAGGAUGACUGCCCUAUGGGUUGUAAACUUCUUUUAUAUGGGAAUAAAAUGUUCCACGUGUGGGAUUUUGUAUGUACCAUAUGAAUAAGGAUCGGCUAACUCCGUGCCAGCAGCCGCGGUAAUACGGAGGAUCCGAGCGUUAUCCGGAUUUAUUGGGUUCAACGGGAGCGUAGGUGGAUUGUUAAGUCAGUUGUGAAAGUUUGCGGCUCAACCGUAAAAUUGCAGUUGAAACUGGCAGUCUUGAGUACAGUAGAGGUGGGCGGAAGUCGUGGUGUAGCGGUGAAAUGCUUAGAUAUCACGAAGAACUCCGAUUGCGAAGGCAGUUCACUGGACUGCAACUGACACUGAGGCUCGAAAGUGUGGGUAUCAAACAGGAUUAGAUACCCGGGUAGUC
Molecule: ribosomal RNA, 460 nt
Filed under: uncultured bacterium
Lineage: Bacteria
Description: partial 16S ribosomal RNA
Rfam family: Bacterial small subunit ribosomal RNA
Source: RNAcentral